RNAcentral lists this ribosomal RNA (572 nucleotides) under uncultured bacterium. RNAcentral's name for it is "bacterial SSU rRNA". It matches the Rfam family "Bacterial small subunit ribosomal RNA", at positions 338 to 923 of the family's 1533-position model. The record is from RNAcentral.
CCUACGGGAGGCAGCAGUGGGGAAUAUUGGACAAUGGGCGAAAGCCUGAUCCAGCAACGCCGCGUGAGGGAUGACGGCCUUCGGGUUGUAAACCUCUUUCAGUAGGGACGAAGCGAGAGUGACGGUACCUACAGAAGAAGGACCGGCCAACUACGUGCCAGCAGCCGCGGUAAUACGUAGGGUCCGAGCGUUGUCCGGAAUUAUUGGGCGUAAAGGGCUCGUAGGCGGUUUGUCGCGUCGGGAGUGAAAACUUGGGGCUUAACCCCAUUCGUGCUUCCGAUACGGGCAGACUAGAGGCAGGCAGGGGAGAACGGAAUUCCUGGUGUAGCGGUGGAAUGCGCAGAUAUCAGGAGGAACACCGGUGGCGAAGGCGGUUCUCUGGGCCUGUUCUGACGCUGAGGAGCGAAAGCAUGGGGAGCGAACAGGAUUAGAUACCCUGGUAGUCCAUGCCGUAAACGUUGGGCGCUAGGUGUGGGAUCCAUUCCACGGGUUCCGUGCCGCAGCUACGCAUAGCGCCCGCCGUCGGGAGGUACGGCCGCGAGGACGUAAACCUACAAAUAGAAGUUAGACGG